UGGCAAGAUAUCGAACCAAGAGAUAGGAAGAUUGAGAAACUUUGUGAAUAUGCUCCUAAGAACCCAUUACGCAGUCCCAAGCAUUCUGUCUCCACAUAUUAGCAAUUAUCUUGAGCAGAGAUAUUACAAGGAUUUACGGAGUGAGAAUUUUGGAUUGCUGAAAGUUGUGUUGUGCAUUUAUAGGAAAUUGCUAUCGUCAUGUAAGGAGCAUAUGCCACUAUUCGCCAGUAGUUUAUUUGGGAUUGUCCGGACUCUUUUAGAACAAAUUGAACAGUACCAAAUGUAGAUUUCAAGUCGCAAUACUCUUGUUGAGUUUAUAAAUAGCCAGAUGGACAGUCCAUACAUGUUCAACUUAGAGGGCCUCAUCCCCAAACUUUGUCAAUUGGCUCAAGAAGUUGGAGACUGUGAAAGAGAUUUACGGUUACAUUUAGCAGGACUGCAGACUUUGGCUUUUAUAGUACGUUUUUUGCCCUAACUAAACAUCACUUAUAUUAAAAAUUGCUCAGAUGCAUAUUUUGGUAUGUUCAUACAUCUACGGACCUUUUUCUUGUCAUUGACAUUUUCUUCCUUAUAAUAUGCUCCUGUGUGCGCACGCGUGUGUGUGUACACGCGUGUGCGAGUGUGUUUGAAUAUAUAUACAAAAGGUGACAGGGUACCUGUCCCUAUUCUAGAAGGUGCUAGUCCAUUGUGAGGCGUCUAUUGUAGUUUGUCUUUAUGUGUUCCCAAUAUAUAGGGACAAAGAAAGCAAUUCACCUCAUUUUUCUUACAUUUUGCAUUUUCUAACAUGGUCUCAAAGCCAACUUCUUAGGUUUAGAAUUGUUGCCUAGUCCCCUUUAUUAAUAGAUUUUGGUCUCUCUUUCUUCCUCUCCCACCUUAAGCUUUUGAGUGUGUACUUCUUAGUUAGACAGUUUAGCCUAAUGAAGACAGUUUAUCCCACUUUGAAGUUUCUGGUCCAACUCGAGACAAACUCAGACCAAUUUGUCUGAUCCAAUAUGCACCUGGGUACCCAAUUUGAAUUGAGAAGUUGGUGCGAUCAGGAUUCGGUGUUGUAUAGGCCGAUUCAAUCUAUUUUGGCCAUUUGUCUUGUCUUUUCAAUUUGUUUCUCCAUAUUUCGGCCAGUUCUGGUCAGUUUUCAGUAUUUUCAGCUGGUUUUGGCUGAUUUUCACUGUUUUUUGCUGGGUACAUCAGCAUUUCAAAUAGUUUCAUUUUAUUCACAUCAUAUUUCGACUAAUUUGCUUUGAUUCGAGCUGUUUUGAGCUUAUUUCAGAGUGUUGGUUAUUUAAUUGGAACUUGUCAUAUUGGUACCUUAGCUUAUGCUCUUAUAACUUCUCUGAAAUUGAAUGGGAUUUAUUAUGUUUAUUUUGGGCAUGAUCAUAAAAGGCUUGUAGGAUCACUUAACAUUGAGGAAGCCUAUGGAUACUAGUUCCAGUAGUCUUUGGGAACAUAAAGAUAAUUAGAUUAUCUCCUUAUGUUGAAUGGUAUUAAGCCUCACAUUGGUUCCUCGUGUAUAUAUCUUCCUCCUGCCAUGGAGGAUUUGAUAUCAUCUUAAACAUAUGCAUUCUGAUACUAGGAAAAUCACUCGGUUUUAUGAGGUGUGUAAACAAUAUUUUUGGCUCGAACAAGGUGCUCAAAGUAGACUGGUACAACAAUCAGGUUGACCAUCCUUAAGGAGAGGGACAUGGAUCAACCUUUCUUCAUUGUCUUAAAGGCUAUGGAGAAAAAAUGUGUAGAUGUGGAUGUUGUUCAGUUUCUUAUUGGCCUCAAACCUGAGUAUGAGUCUGUUUAAGCGCAGAUUUUGAGUGCUUAUGAGCUCCCCUCUUUACCUGAUGUCCUUUCUUGAAUUUAGCGAGCUACCCUAUUUGAUAGCAGUGCUCAAUUGAGUUUUGAUCAUAAUUCUUUCUCUGCUUUUAUUGCUUAUUGUGAGGUUUCUGGUAGUUCCUUUUGGGGAAUAUGGAAGUAGAGGUGAUUGUUGUUUCUGUGGGAGUUAUUCAUUGGGUAUUGUUGUGAUCUACACGGUAAGCCAUCUGGAGCCGCUCAUGAGGUACCUUCUGAAGAAAAUUCUUUUGUCCCCAUCUUGUUACUAUAAGUUCAGCUCCAAAUUCUGGCAUGAUCCCCAUUCUGACAGAUGAGUAUGUUCAGUUCAUAACCCACUCAUGGGUUUCUUCCUAUUCUAUGGCUGCUCUUAUUUAGUUAGUUACUACAUCCCAUUGUCUUUUAUUCUCUACUAGCAACCUGUGGGUCAUUGACCAUGGAGCAACCAAACAUAAGGUUAUAAAGGAACAACUGUUUAUGAAUGGCUCAAGGUCGGCUCAUAUAUACUAUAGGUUUGAACAUGGUUUAAAUAUUGCUUCGAAUAUUGAACAAGCCAAACU
Molecule: long non-coding RNA, 2372 nt
Organism: Juglans microcarpa x Juglans regia
Lineage: Eukaryota; Viridiplantae; Streptophyta; Magnoliopsida; Fagales; Juglandaceae
Exons: 5
Source: RefSeq, a predicted model, not a curated record